RNAcentral lists this ribosomal RNA (460 nucleotides) under uncultured bacterium. RNAcentral's name for it is "bacterial SSU rRNA". It matches the Rfam family "Bacterial small subunit ribosomal RNA", at positions 917 to 1382 of the family's 1533-position model. The record is from RNAcentral.
GGGCCCGCACAAGCAGUGGAGUAUGUUGUUUAAUUCGAUGCAACGCGAAGAACCUUACCAGGGCUUGACAUCCUGCGAAGGCGGUAGAAACACCGCUGUGCCCUUCGGGGAACGCAGAGACAGGUGGUGCAUGGUUGUCGUCAGCUCGUGUCGUGAGAUGUUGGGUUAAGUCCCGCAACGAGCGCAACCCCUAUGAUCAGUUACUACGCAAGAGGACUCUGAUCAGACUGCUGUCGUAAGACGGAGGAAGGUGGGGAUGACGUCAAAUCAUCAUGCCCUUUAUGUCCUGGGCUACAAACGUACUACAAUGGCUGGAAACAGAGGGGUGCCAAAGCGCGAGCUGGAGCAAAUCCCCAAAAACAGUCUCAGUUCAGAUUGCAGGCUGCAACCCGCCUGCAUGAAGACGGAAUUGCUAGUAAUCGCGAAUCAGAAUGUCGCGGUGAAUACGUUCCCGGGCCUU